AGGACCCAGUCCCUUCCUCUUCCCCUCUUGCCACAGGCUUUCCACCAUCAUGUGCUGCAGCCUUGCCACAGGCCCCAAAGCAACAGAUUUCAUGGACUGAAAUCUCUGAAAUUACAAGCCAAAAUAAUUUUAUAAGUUAAUCAUCUCAAGUAUUUGUAAUAGUGACAGAAAACUGACUAACACAUGACCCAUCAAAGAAUUGAUAUGCUGAACUUUGUUAAAAUUAAAAUCUCUGUUCUGCAAAAGACACUCUGAAGAGAACAAACAGGCAGGUCACAGACUCUGAGGGAGUAUUUGCAAGAGACACCUAUGAUUAAGGACUAUUAUCCAAAUAUACAAAGACCUCCUAAGAUUCAACAAUAAGAAAACAGUUCCUUUUAAAAAUGGGCCAAAACCAUAAUGGGCAUCUCAACAAAGAAGAUAUACAGAUGGCAAAUAAGCAUAUGAAAAUAUGCUCUGCAACACGUAACCAGGAAAUGCAAAUUAAAACAAGAUAUCAGGAAACACCACAGGGGCAGAAGUCCAAAGCACCGACCACACCAAAACUCCCUCAGAAUGUGAAGCAACAGGAACUCUGGUUUACUGCUGGUGGGAUGACAGUUUGGCUGAUUUUCUUAUUAAUUGAAACACACUUACCACUUGAUCUAGUAAUUAGACGUCAUGGUAUUUACCCAAAGGAGCUGGGCACUCCGAGUUUGAUCACACAAGCCCCUAACAGAGAUGUCUGUAGCAGCUUUAUUUUUAAUUAGCAAAACCUGGAAGAAGCAACCAAGGUGUCAGUAGGAGGAUUCCUCAGGACAGCAGAAUAUUACUCAGCACUAAAAAAAAAAAAAAAAAAAAGCAUGAUGUAGAAAUUUUUAAUGAGCUAUAAAGCCAUGAAAAUGUGGAGCAAAUUAAAUACAUUUUACUCGGUGACAUUGACUUUUGCCACAGAUUGGGCAAAGUCCCACAUGCUGUUAGUAUCCAGCUAUAUGACAUUCUGGAAAAGACAAAAAAAUAGAGACCAUAAAAAGUUCAAUGAUUGCCAGAGGAAGGUAGGGAGGUACGAACAUGUAGAGCAGGGAUGACGUUUAGG
This 1075-nucleotide long non-coding RNA is filed under the name Marmota monax (woodchuck). The record is from RNAcentral. Lineage: Eukaryota; Metazoa; Chordata; Mammalia; Rodentia; Sciuridae.